CACUAAGAAGCUAAAUCGGAUGUAGCGUUAGCCUUUUAAGCUAAAAACUGGUGAUCUCCAACCACCCUUAGUGA
Molecule: transfer RNA, 74 nt
Filed under: Grasseichthys gabonensis
Lineage: Eukaryota; Metazoa; Chordata; Actinopteri; Gonorynchiformes; Kneriidae
Description: tRNA-Lys
Rfam family: tRNA
About the family: Transfer RNA (tRNA) molecules are approximately 80 nucleotides in length. Their secondary structure includes four short double-helical elements and three loops (D, anti-codon, and T loops). Further hydrogen bonds mediate the characteristic L-shaped molecular structure. tRNAs have two regions of fundamental functional importance: the anti-codon, which is responsible for specific mRNA codon recognition, and the 3' end, to which the tRNAs corresponding amino acid is attached (by aminoacyl-tRNA synthetases). tRNAs cope with the degeneracy of the genetic code in two manners: having more than one tRNA (with a specific anti-codon) for a particular amino acid; and 'wobble' base-pairing, i.e. permitting non-standard base-pairing at the 3rd anti-codon position.
Source: RNAcentral